RNAcentral lists this ribosomal RNA (164 nucleotides) under Persicaria virginiana. RNAcentral's name for it is "5.8S ribosomal RNA". It matches the Rfam family "5.8S ribosomal RNA". From Rfam's summary of the family: 5.8S ribosomal RNA (5.8S rRNA) is a component of the large subunit of the eukaryotic ribosome. It is transcribed by RNA polymerase I as part of the 45S precursor that also contains 18S and 28S rRNA. The record is from RNAcentral. Lineage: Eukaryota; Viridiplantae; Streptophyta; Magnoliopsida; Caryophyllales; Polygonaceae. RNAcentral also lists the same sequence under 46 other names.
GAACGACUCUCGGCAACGGAUAUCUCGGCUCUCGCAUCGAUGAAGAACGUAGCGAAAUGCGAUACUUGGUGUGAAUUGCAGAAUCCCGUGAACCAUCGAGUCUUUGAACGCAAGUUGCGCCCGAAGCCUUCGGGCCAAGGGCACGUCUGCCUGGGCGUCACGCA